This 253-nucleotide ribosomal RNA is filed under the name uncultured bacterium. RNAcentral's name for it is "partial 16S ribosomal RNA". It matches the Rfam family "Bacterial small subunit ribosomal RNA", at positions 524 to 776 of the family's 1533-position model. The record is from RNAcentral.
UACGUAGGGUGCGAGCGUUAAUCGGAAUUACUGGGCGUAAAGCGUGCGCAGGCGGUGAUGUAAGACCGAUGUGAAAUCCCCGGGCUUAACCUGGGAACUGCAUUGGUGACUGCAUUGCUGGAGUAUGGCAGAGGGGGGUGGAAUUCCGCGUGUAGCAGUGAAAUGCGUAGAGAUGCGGCGGAACACCGAUGGCGAAGGCAGCCCCCUGGGCUGAGAUUGACGCUCAGGCACGAAAGCGUGGGGAGCAAACAGG